GCGAUAGGGGACUCCGAGUGCGAGGGCAUAUAGUCCUCGCUUUUCACCACCGUAAGGUGGUGGUGGAAUAAGUGCUGGGCAAGACCGGUGCCAGCCGCCGCGGUAAUACCGGCAGCACGAGUGAUGACCGCUAUUAUUGGGCCUAAAGCGUCCGUAGCUGGCCAGGCAAGUCUAUCGGGAAAUCUGCGCGCUUAACGCGCAGGCGUCCGGUGGAAACUGCGUGGCUUGGGACCGGAAGACCAGAGGGGUACGUCCGGGGUAGGAGUGAAAUCCCGUAAUCCUGGACGGACCACCGGUGGCGAAAGCGCCUCUGGAAGACGGAUCCGACGGUGAGGGACGAAAGCUCGGGUCACGAACCGGAUUAGAUACCCGGGUAGUCCGAGCUGUAAACGAUGUCUGCUAGGUGUGGCACAGGCUACGAGCCUGUGCUGUGCCGUAGGGAAGCCGAGAAGCAGACCGCCUGGGAAGUACGUCCGCAAGGAUGAAACUUAAAGGAAUUGGCGGGGGAGCACUACAACCGGAGGAGCCUGCGGUUUAAUUGGACUCAACGCCGGACAUCUCACCAGCAUCGACAAUGUGCAGUGAAGGUCAGAUUGAUGAUCUUACUGGAGCCAUUGA
This 618-nucleotide ribosomal RNA is filed under the name Natrinema sp. MaD4. RNAcentral's name for it is "bacterial SSU rRNA". It matches the Rfam family "Archaeal small subunit ribosomal RNA", at positions 367 to 983 of the family's 1478-position model. The record is from RNAcentral. Lineage: Archaea; Methanobacteriati; Methanobacteriota; Halobacteria; Halobacteriales; Natrialbaceae.